Molecule: transfer RNA, 63 nt
Filed under: Calanus hyperboreus
Lineage: Eukaryota; Metazoa; Arthropoda; Copepoda; Calanoida; Calanidae
Description: tRNA-Met
Source: RNAcentral
AGAUACAUAAGCUAAAAUAAGCUAAGGAGCUCAUAACUCUUUGAUAGGAUUACCUUGUCUCUA